This 90-nucleotide transfer RNA is filed under the name Clostridiaceae bacterium. RNAcentral's name for it is "tRNA-Ser". It matches the Rfam family "tRNA". Rfam says of the family: Transfer RNA (tRNA) molecules are approximately 80 nucleotides in length. Their secondary structure includes four short double-helical elements and three loops (D, anti-codon, and T loops). Lineage: Bacteria; Bacillati; Bacillota; Clostridia; Eubacteriales; Clostridiaceae. The record is from RNAcentral.
GGAGAAAUACCCAAGUGGUGAAGGGGACGGUUUGCUAAACCGUUAGCAGGGGCGACUCUGGCGAGGGUUCAAAUCCCUCUUUCUCCGCCA